CUCGGAUCUGUGUUUGGGGAAGGCCAGGCUUGCGCUCCUCGCCGGGUUCCGCGAAGGUUAACCUUGGCUGACUUGGCUCGCGAGCAAAGGGCAGCGUCUGAGCUCCCGGCGUUCCAGGAGUGGCCUCUUUUGUAGGAGCACCUGAAAUGCAGCGUCUGGUGCACUAAGCCGUAGCGGCAGCAGCAGCCACAGCGACAGCGCUGGGGCCCUGUGUAGAAGCUCCAUCCCCCUUGUCUUUGUGCUUGCCUGCGUCCCCAGACUCAGAGAUUAUCUUAGAAGACCUAGGACUCCAAAAAUGUUUCCCCUGAAGGACGCUGAAAUGGGAGCCUUUACCUUCUUUGCCUCGGCUCUGCCACAUGAUGUUUGUGGAAGCAAUGGACUUCCUCUCACACCAAAUUCCAUCAAAAUUUUAGGGCGCUUUCAAAUCCUUAAAACCAUCACCCAUCCCAGACUCUGCCAGUAUGUGGAUAUUUCUAGGGGAAAGCAUGAACGACUAGUGGUCGUGGCUGAACAUUGUGAACGUAGUCUGGAAGACUUGCUUCGAGAAAGGAAACCUGUGAGGUACUGUAUAGUAUCAGAACAAUUAAAUGAAAAGCAGAACUUGGCAAACAAAAAGGCAUUUUGUUUAAACUGCAGGGGUUUGGUUUCUUUUGUUACUUGUUUAAUGAUAAAGGUAGGUGCAAAUUUUCACUUGAGAAAAUUUAAUUUACAGAUUACAUAUGAAUUCAACAUUAACAUAGUCCAGUGUUCAUCUUUUGUGAGGUAGGCAUUCUCUGAAAUAUUUCACAAAAAAUUCUUCAAAAGGGGAUAUAUGAAAAUUUGAAACCUUCUUAGUACUAAGCAUUUCACUAGCUGAGAUUAAGAUUAUUUUCCUGGCCAGGCGUGGUGGCUCACGCCUGUAAUGCCAGCACUUUGGGAGGCCGAGGCGGGCGGAUCACAAGGUCAGGAGAUCGAGACCAUCCUGGCUAACACGGUGAAACCCUGUCUCUACUAAAAAUACAAAAAAUUAGCUGGACGUGGUGGUGGGCACCUGUAGUCCCAGCUACUCAGGAGGCUGAGAAAGGAGAAUGGCGUGAACCCAGGAGGCGGAGCUUACGGUGAGCCGAGAUUGCACCACCGCACUCCUGCCUGGGUGACAGAGCGAGAC
RNAcentral lists this long non-coding RNA (1147 nucleotides) under Homo sapiens (human). Its description in RNAcentral is "long non-coding RNA NONHSAT200269.1". Lineage: Eukaryota; Metazoa; Chordata; Mammalia; Primates; Hominidae. The record is from RNAcentral.